Molecule: long non-coding RNA, 3443 nt
Organism: Hypanus sabinus (Atlantic stingray)
Lineage: Eukaryota; Metazoa; Chordata; Chondrichthyes; Myliobatiformes; Dasyatidae
Exons: 4
Source: RefSeq, a predicted model, not a curated record
ACUUUCCCUUCUAAUUAUACAGAUACACUUGGGUUCUUCAGCUGUAUGGAGCAAAGUAACCAUUGCCAGACUGCUGACCACAUUGCUUGCUCUUACUGAAGUCCAGUGUAUUUGGUCUGGCAGUAUUUCUAAUUCAAUGGUUGAGCGUGAUCUUGCAAGGCUCCAGUGAGAGUGCCUUUUAGAGACUGCAUGACUGGAACCAUGAUCUAAGCAGGCUGAAGCAGAAAACCUCAGGUUACAUUCAUCAUUGGGAAAGACUUUGAAAAGACCACUUGAUGCACCAUCAAUAACUCUCUCUGAGAUGUAAAGGUGAGAUAUCGGCUUUUAUUGACUGGAAGAAGGAAGAAGGAACAUGCAGUGGUUGACCACCAUACUACAUCCUGGAGACUGAGAGGCCGGGCUCAGAACUCAAUUGCCUUUAUACAGGGGUCUGUGGGAGGAGCCACAGGAGCAGUCAGCAGGGGGCGUGUCCAGACAGAUUAUACGCUUAUCUUGAGUUAAGGAGCUUGCAGAUGGUGUAAAAGUCAGCCAUCUGGUCGAUAGAGAAAAAACACACUGCAGUUUUAGUCAAGUGUGAAGCCGUGCAUUCAGCAAGAGCAAACAAGGUAAAGAAACAUAGUUGGUAGAAUACUGACAACUGUACGAGGAGAACCUGGGGUAUACAUCCAUGGACAUUGUGAAGGUAGCAAGUGAGCAGCUCAAGACAAACAAGAGAAGGCUUUAUUAGCCAAAGUGUAGAAUUUAUGAGCAGGGAGGUGAUCCUGAAGCUAUAUAAACCAGUGAUUAUGCAUCAGUUAGAGAACUAUAUACAGUUCUGGAUGCAGUUUUGACUGUAAUUGCCCUCAAGAGAUUCACAAGAAUUUUGCCAAGACAGAAGUCAGUGCCAGAUUAGAAACUCCACUCCACCACAGUCACAGGAGCACAAUCAGGGUAUGGGUGCUGAGUGCUUGAGAUACCUAUCAGAUUGCAUUGAUUCCAGCCAGGCCGUGCAGUCAUGCCUUCAGUAGCCAUGCAGCUACUCUAAAAUAAUGUGACUGUGCAGCUCCAAAUGGAUCUUGGUGGAAUGGAGUUUCUAAGGGAAAAGAGGAAGGUAGGGCAGUAGAUAUUAUCUAUAUGGCCUUUGACAAGCUCCCACAUGGAAGGGUGAUCUGGAAAGUUUGGUUGCAUGAGAUUCAGGGGAAGCUAGUAAGAGGAUUCAGAGUUGGCUCAAUGAUGGGCGGUGAUGGUUGAAGGUCAAAUCUCCAACAGGAGUCCUGUGCCUAGCGGUGUGCUCUCAGUGUUAGGAACCCUGUUAUUUAUCAUUUAUAUAACUAUUCUGGAUGUGAAUGUAUCUGUCAUUAUUAGCAAGUUCCGAAUGAUACCUAAUUAGGAUGUCUUGUUGAUAAUGAAGCAGGUUACAUGAAUUACAAAAAUAUUGUGAUCAGUUAGGGAGAUGGGCUGGGGAAUAGCAAAUGGUUUUCAAUUAGGUAAGUGAGGAGAUACAUGUUGUACAUUCAAACCAGGAUAGGACCUAUAUCCUGAAUGGCAAAGCAUUGACAAGUAUUGUGGGAGCACAAGUGCACGAUAUGCUAAAAGUGAUCUUGCAAGGUGAAGAAGGUAUCUAGCAUUCUGGCCUUCAUCAGUCAAGAAAUCAAGUUCUGGAGUAGAGAUCAUAUGUUACAGUUAUACAAGUCAUAGGUAAGGAUGCACUUGGAUUAUAGUGUACACUUUUGGUCAGCUUUUUAUAAGAAAGACGUUGUCAAGGGGAGGGUAGAGAAAGGACUUACAAGCAUGCUGCCAGAGGCAGUGGUUGAAGCAGGUACAGUCACACCAUUUAAGGGGCAUUUGGAUAGGUACAUGGAGGGGAAGGGUUUGGAGUGUUAUGUGCUGAAAACCGAUCUGGAACUUGUAGGGAAGAUGCUAUGGUCAGCAUGGACCAUUGGCCGAAGGGUCUGUUUUCAUUCUGCAGCACACUAUGACCUCUGGCACCAAUGCUGCAAUCCCUCUGUGAAGCCCUGAAAGGCCGCCAGGCCUCAGGCCCCAGGGUUUAGUCCUGCCCUCAAGUUGCCCGAAUACUCUGACAGCUCGUGAUCAAAGCAAAUAGUUGUAAGAAAUUAUGUGAAAACAUGUGAAACUUCAGUUAAUUAAAAUAUAUACAGAAAUAUAAAGAAAAAUAAAAAUGUUAACUUUCACUUCUUUUUCAUGCAAAUGAGCCCUUGCUAGGUAUUCAGGAGCCAGAAGUGAAACGUAUCCAGCCCUUGAGCUCAACAACUUCAGGACUAUCCUGGAUUCAAUGGUCAUGUUGCAGCCAAGACUUUGUAAUGUGGGAAUCAUAAUUAGUUUUGUGCAAAGAAUAUGAGGGAGAGAAAAGGAAAUGAAUAGAGAUUUAGUACCAGGAAACUUGGACUAAUGAUGUCAAGGAAGAGGUCAGUAAAAAUUGGCUUAGCAAUUCAAUCAACCAGCACGUGUUUUUUUUCAUUUUCUUUGUGAUUGAAUUGAAGGUAAAGUUGUUUGCCAGGCACAAUCUGCAAUUCCUUGCAAGCACAGAAAACAAAGGGAAUACUCCAAGCUUGGAUGUUUCCAGUCAAGAUGGUGCCAGUAUAUAAUGCUCCCAUAGUUGAUGUUUUCCAGAUAGCAAACUAAAAAGCUUUUUACUUCUUUUAUGUCUGUUUUUAACCUUAAGUGUGUUUCUGGGACUGUUAGAGCCUGCCAUUUACUGCUUGGAGAUUGUUUGAGUGAUCCAGCACUUUGCCUGCUCCAAGAAGGUUCCAGGAAACGGGUGCGUACUUGGACGGCCUCAAAGUGAAGCAACUUCGAGACAGGGCACGAACUGAUGUUUGACUCCGUUUCACCAUUUUGAGCAUCCAUUAAUCGCCGAUUAAAGCAUCAAGGAAGACUGAGACAUCAAGCCGAAUGCAGGAGGCAAGCAAGAGUUUCAGCACCGACUGCCUGCCUUUUGAUCACUGCCAGAGAUGGAGUCUGUGAGUGGCCUAUCACUGUGUGGCUCACUCUGGCAGGUGGGUAGGCCUCUGCUUCCUGUGGUGCCCCUCUUUUUCGAUGAAUGUGGGAGAUAUUUGGAGGACGGUAUUGUGAUUCUGCGUUUAUGGAUUGAACUAUUGUGUUCAUGAACUGUGGACUCUUCAGACUUAUAUUUUUUAUAUUCUGUGUCAUUUUUUCACCUGUUCCUUUUCCAUCUUGUUGUGCAAGAGGAGGGUGUUUGGUGUUGAUGUGCUGUUUGUUCUUUUGUGCAGGGGAGGGGUUGAUGUUCCUAUUCUGUUUUUGCAGAGGAAAGUGAGGGGGAUGAUCAGGAUGCUUUCCUUUUUUGUCUGGGGCAUGAGUUUGAUGUUUCUUUCUGAACAACUUUCAUGCUCUUUCUUUGUUUUGUGGCUAUCUGGAGAAGACAAAUCUUGGAGUUGUAUAUGGAUACAUGUUUUCCUAAUAAAUGAGUCUUUGAACCUUUGAAA